GGCUCCAUAGUGUAGUGGUCAGCACAUCUGCUUUACACGCAGAAGGUCCUGGGUUCAUGACCCAGGUGGAGCCA
Molecule: non-coding RNA, 74 nt
Organism: Pteropus alecto (black flying fox)
Lineage: Eukaryota; Metazoa; Chordata; Mammalia; Chiroptera; Pteropodidae
Source: Rfam